CCAUGUGGUGUUACAGAUAUCUAUCAUACAUAUCAUGAUUGACAACUGUGUAGAUAUAUUUGGAUAGAAUAACAAUAUCGUUGUGACCAUAACCAAAAGAGGUCAGAUGACAUAAAGACAUCAGUAAAUACUGCUGCAGGGGAAAAUGAAACAACUUCAACAUAUAUCUUUUCACAAUGGAAAUUUCCUCAUGACUGAAGAAGUUGCUGGUCAUUUUAUUUCAAUGUUCCCUUCUACCUCCCUCUUAACCACAGCAGAAGAGAUUAUUAUGAGAAACAACUUCAGUUUUAUAUUUAACCAUAUUGUUACAUAGUUUCACUCACUAUAUUUAUUUUAUGUUGUGUAUUACACAUUCUUAUCUAUUAAUAUUAAUAAAUGGUAUUAAAUUA
Long non-coding RNA from Apodemus sylvaticus (European woodmouse), 389 nucleotides. RefSeq lists it as uncharacterized. The record is from RefSeq and is a predicted model, not a curated record. The transcript has 2 exons. Lineage: Eukaryota; Metazoa; Chordata; Mammalia; Rodentia; Muridae.